GUGAAUCAUCGAAUCUUUGAACGCAAAUUGCACUCUCUUCGGAGAGUAUGCCUGUUUGAGGGUCAGCCUAAAAAAAAUCGACGUAGUCGCUGUUUUGCGGUGACAUUCGUCGGUAAUUGGGUCAUCUUAAACCUUUGGGUUUUUUAAGCGGCUUAAAAUUUUCUUUACGAUUCAACGAACGUUUCUAAGUUUUACAUCUUAUACGUUUAAGGUAUUGAUCUUUAUUUUACGUUGCCGUUGCAUCGGAUGACG
This 252-nucleotide unclassified non-coding RNA is filed under the name Glomus sp. RNAcentral describes it as "partial contains 5.8S ribosomal RNA and internal transcribed spacer 2". The stretch from base 1 to 65 matches the Rfam family "5.8S ribosomal RNA", at positions 84 to 154 of the family's 154-position model. The record is from RNAcentral. Lineage: Eukaryota; Fungi; Glomeromycota; Glomeromycetes; Glomerales; Glomeraceae.